UCCAUCACAGAAACACAUCUCAACACAUCCAAGGUUAUGAGGAUGUGAGAAUGUCUUCGCUGCAUUAUUAUUUUUCAGCAUUGCCUCUGCUGACUUCAUGGGAGGAAUGGUGUUUCUUCUUCUCUCCCAUGUCAUGGAAGACACUCCUGAUGGCAUGUCUGUAGGUCUGUAGGAAAGAAUAAUCACCUCAGUAGCUUAGUGUGUGUAUGUGUGUGUGUGUGUCUGACACACUGUAGGUACAUAAUAAAGAUUUGAAAAUAUGAGUUUUUUUUAAUCCAAGCAGUGCCAUGUGUUUACUUGGAUUAGUAAUUGUACCAAUCUACAUUUUAAAGGUAAAACUAGCCAUUCAUUCUUUUGUUUCAGCAGUUGCCUAAUUUUAUUGUUUAAGUAUAAUGUGAGUGAAGGAAACUUCCUAGUUAGAAAUCUAUGAAUAUUAACUUCUUGUCUUCACUAACCAGAGUUGUUCUCAACUCAUAACACGUGGUUUGGUAAACCAUUUGCAAUGUAAACAUAGCAGAUUUUACUUGUAGUUUCAUAAUUUAGGCAGGUUGGCUCUGUAUUAUUUCUAGAAUCACAGGUAUCUGGAUGAAGAAUCACCAUUUUGUCAUUAGAGAUUACAACAAAUGUAGUUUAUUCUUUUUACCGGUAAUAUCAAUGUAAGCAAAAAUUAUACUUUUUAGCUAAGCAUG
RNAcentral lists this long non-coding RNA (689 nucleotides) under Homo sapiens (human). RNAcentral describes it as "non-protein coding LINC01197:21". The record is from RNAcentral. Lineage: Eukaryota; Metazoa; Chordata; Mammalia; Primates; Hominidae.